RNAcentral lists this non-coding RNA (21 nucleotides) under Caenorhabditis elegans. Lineage: Eukaryota; Metazoa; Nematoda; Chromadorea; Rhabditida; Rhabditidae. The record is from RNAcentral.
UACUCCGUUGAUAAAAGUAAU